UGCAAAGAUAAAAACACAGCCCCGGCCGGUAGUCCGGGCGCAGCGGCAAAUAUUAAUGAAAACGCUGUCAGUAACCUUCCUCCUAAGGUUGUCCGUUCUUUGUCUAU
Molecule: non-coding RNA, 107 nt
Filed under: uncultured Enterocloster sp.
Lineage: Bacteria; Bacillati; Bacillota; Clostridia; Lachnospirales; Lachnospiraceae
Description: yjdF RNA
Rfam family: azaaromatic riboswitch aptamer (yjdF RNA)
Source: RNAcentral